CGCUGGCGGCGUGCCUAAUACAUGCAAGUCGAACGGUCUUUCUAUGGAAGCUUGCUUCCACUGAGAAGAUAGUGGCGAACGGGUGAGUAACACGUGGGUAACCUGCCCAUAAGAGGGGGAUAACAUCCGGAAACGGGUGCUAAUACCGCAUAGUUUUCUUGAUUGCAUGAUUGAGAAAGGAAAGACGGCCUUUGUGCUGUCGCUUAUGGAUGGACCCGCGGCGUAUUAGUUAGUUGGUGAGGUAACGGCUCACCAAGACGAUGAUACGUAGCCGACCUGAGAGGGUGAUCGGCCACAUUGGGACUGAGACACGGCCCAAACUCCUACGGGAGGCAGCAGUAGGGAAUCUUCCGCAAUGGACGAAAGUCUGACGGAGCAACGCCGCGUGAGUGAAGAAAGGUUUUCGGAUCGUAAAACUCUGUUGUCAGAGAAGAACAAGUUGGAGAGUAACUGCUCCAGCCUUGACGGUAUCUGACCAGAAAGCCACGGCUAACUACGUGCCAGCCGCCGC
Molecule: ribosomal RNA, 511 nt
Filed under: uncultured bacterium
Lineage: Bacteria
Description: bacterial SSU rRNA
Rfam family: Bacterial small subunit ribosomal RNA
Source: RNAcentral